CAGUAGCCGCGGGAAUACGUAGGGUGCGAGCGUUAAUCGGAUUUACUGGGCGUAAAGCGUGCGCAGGCGGCCCGUUAAGACAGGUGUGAAAUCCCUGGGCUCAACCUAGGAAUUGCGCUUGUGACUGGCGGGCUCGAGUACGGUAGAGGGGGGGUGGAAUUCCUGGUGUAGCAGUGAAAUGCGUAGAGAUCAGGAGGAACACCGAUGGCGAAGGCAGCCCCCUGGGCCUGUACUGACGCUCAUGCACGAAAGCGUGGGGAGCAAACAGGAUUAGAUACCCCUGUAGUCCCUGUCUCUUAUU
RNAcentral lists this ribosomal RNA (301 nucleotides) under uncultured bacterium. RNAcentral describes it as "partial 16S ribosomal RNA". It matches the Rfam family "Bacterial small subunit ribosomal RNA", at positions 509 to 808 of the family's 1533-position model. The record is from RNAcentral.